RNAcentral lists this ribosomal RNA (1363 nucleotides) under uncultured archaeon. RNAcentral's name for it is "16S ribosomal RNA". It matches the Rfam family "Archaeal small subunit ribosomal RNA". The record is from RNAcentral.
CCGACUAAGCCAUGCGAGGCGAGGGUGUCCCUCUGGGAUGCCCGCCGCACUGCUCAGUAACACGUAGUCAAUCUGCCCUGGGGACGGGGAUAACCCCGGGAAACUGGGGAUAAUACCCGAUAGGAGAGGGGUACUGGAAGGUCCUCUCUCCCAAAAGGGCCUCCUCUGGAGGUUCCGCCCCAGGAUGAGACUGCGGCGGAUUAGGUUGUUGUUGGGGUAAAUGCCCAACAAGCCAAUAAUCCGUACGGGUUGUGAGAGCAAUAGCCCGGAGAUGGACUCUGAGACAUGAGUCCAGGCCCUACGGGGUGCAGCAGGCGCGAAACCUUCGCAAUGCGCGAAAGCGUGACGAGGGGACUCCGAGUGGCUUCGCACUGCGAAGCCUUUUGCCGAGUGUGAAAAGGCUCGANCGAAUAAGGGGUGGGCAAGACGGUUNCCAGCCGCCGCGGUAAUANCCGCGCCCCAAGUGGUGNCCACUUUUAUUGGGCCUAAAGCGUCCGUAGCCGGCCCGGUAAGUCCACAGUUAAAGCCCGCUGCAAACAGCGGAGGUGCUGUGGAUACUGCCGGGCUAGGGACCGGGAGAGGCCGGGGGUACGGCCAGGGUAGGGGUUAAAUCCGUUAGUCCUGGCAGGACCACCUGUGGCGAAGGCGCCCGGCUGGAACGGCUCCGACGGUGAGGGACGAAAGCUAGGGGAGCGAUCGGGAUUAGAUACCCCGGUAGUCCUAGCCGUAAACGAUGCCCACUUGGUGUCGGCUGUCCCACGUGGGCAGUCGGUGCCGAAGCGAAGGCGAUAAGUGGGCCGCCUGGGGAGUACGGCCGCAAGGCUGAAACUUAAGGGAAUUGGCGGGGGAGCACUACAAGGGGUGGAGGCUGCUGUUCAAUUGGAUUCAACGCCGUGAACCUCACCCGGGAAGACAGCAGAAUGAGGGUCACCCUGAAGGGGUUACCAGACAAGCUGAGAGGUGAUGCGUGGCCGUCGUCAGCUCGUGCCGUGAGGUGUCCUCUUAAGUGAGGCAACGAGCGAGACCCACGCCCUUAGUUGCUACCGGUGCCUCCGGGCAUCGGGCACUCUAAGGGGACCGCUGCCGCUAAGGCAGAGGAAGGAGUGGGCAACGGCAGGUCAGUAUGUCCCGAAUUCCCGGGGCUACAAGCGGCCUACAAAGCAUGGGCCAACGGGAUGCGACCCCGAGAGGGGAAGCCAAUCCCUCAAACCCAUGCCCAGUUCGGAUCGAGGGCUGCAACCCGCCCUCGUGAAGCCGGAAUCCCUAGUAAGCGGGGGNCAUCAUCUCUCGCUGAAUACGUCCCUGCUCCUUGNACACACCGCCCGUCAAGCCAUCCGAGUGGGGUUCUGGUGAGGCCUGGUGC